This is a long non-coding RNA of Glycine soja, 722 nucleotides long. RefSeq lists it as uncharacterized. The transcript is spliced from 2 exons. The record is from RefSeq and is a predicted model, not a curated record. Lineage: Eukaryota; Viridiplantae; Streptophyta; Magnoliopsida; Fabales; Fabaceae.
UUUGCGGAAGCUCGCGUCGACAGCAUGUGCAAUAAUUAAAUUUCAUACGACGAGAAGAGUCACGUAUUUGUCCUUCACCUUCGUGGUAGCUUCUUAUAGCCAUGCCUGUCCUACAACUUUUAUAUACCAUACAAUAGGGCAUGCAACUAUUUGAAAUCGAUUUAAUGAGUUGUAACUCGGAAGUAAGAUUGGAUGAUGACUUUUUAACUGGAUAAUUCAUUUUAAUCAUGUAAUUGAAAUAUUUUAAGGUGAAAUUAUACGUUUGAAUAAAUCAUUUAAAGAGAAAUUAAAUUCAGUCAUUUUAAUAAAGAAUUUUAUUCAACAGAGAAUGCAUGAAUUGAAAUUCUUUGCAAAAAUAAGAGAAUUUUAAUUUCUUUGCAACUCCUCUCUACGGCCGGUCUCGUUUCACUAUCUCACAGUCACGAAAACCUUCAUUCAAAUCGUACACUCUCGAUGGCUAUUACCUCAUUCAGAUUGCAUACUCUCACAAUGGCUACGACCUCCGUUCUCUCUUGAUUCAGAUCGCACAUUUUCUUCAUACAAGGGAUAGAUCGUGAGAAUGUCUUUUGGCUUAUGUGGGGACUAUUUUUUUUUAAUGAAGCUUUUCAAAAUAUAUUGAUGUCUUAGGUUGUAUUCUGGAAUCAUUAAUUUUCAAAUUAUUCUCAUUUUUAUAUUUUUAAUGACACUGAUGAUGAUAAAAUAUAAAGAAGGUACUUUAUAUA